UCGGUGUGCGGUUCUAUCGCUCCGGCCGAAACGCCGGGGAGGAAAGUCCGGACAAUACAGAGCGCCACGCUGUGGAAAGCACAGGUAGCUGUGAGGCUAAGGCCGGCAUAACAGAAAAUAACCGUCGUGGAAACGCGAUAAGGGUGAAAAGGCGAGGUAAGAGCUCACCGGUUACGGCAGCGAUGCCGUAAGCCGUAUGCCCUCGUGGAUUGCAAGGCCAUGUAUAUCGGCAACUGUAGGAUGGCUCGUCCGACGCCGAGGGGUAGGCCGCAUUAGAUAAAUGAUAGAACAUGACAGAAUCCGGCUUAUACGCACACCGUUUUU
RNAcentral lists this RNase P RNA (324 nucleotides) under Prevotellaceae bacterium. RNAcentral describes it as "RNase P RNA component class A". It matches the Rfam family "Bacterial RNase P class A". From Rfam's summary of the family: Ribonuclease P (RNase P) is a ubiquitous endoribonuclease, found in archaea, bacteria and eukarya as well as chloroplasts and mitochondria. Its best characterised activity is the generation of mature 5'-ends of tRNAs by cleaving the 5'-leader elements of precursor-tRNAs. Cellular RNase Ps are ribonucleoproteins. Lineage: Bacteria; Pseudomonadati; Bacteroidota; Bacteroidia; Bacteroidales; Prevotellaceae. The record is from RNAcentral.